UGUACACACCGCCCGUCGCUACUACCGAUUGAAUGGCUUAGUGAGACCUCCGGAUUGGCGUCCUGUUACCGGCAACGGAAACGGGUUGCUGAGAAGUUGGUCAAACUUGGUCAUUUAGAGGAAGUAAAAGUCGUAACAAGGUAACCGUAGGUGAACCUGCGGUUGGAUCAUUA
Molecule: ribosomal RNA, 173 nt
Filed under: uncultured Chytridiomycota
Lineage: Eukaryota; Fungi; Chytridiomycota
Description: partial 18S ribosomal RNA
Rfam family: Eukaryotic small subunit ribosomal RNA
Source: RNAcentral